UCAGAUGACCGGAUGGCUGCUGCUUGUGCUUUUUGCACAAGGAGAGGAAAGUCCGGGCUCCACAGGGUCAGGGUGCCGGAUAACGUCCGGCGGGGGCAACUCUAGGGAAAGUGCCACAGAAAACAAACCACCCGCUAUGCAGGGCAAGGGUGAAAAGGUGCGGUAAGAGCGCACCGCCGAACUGGCAACAGAACGGGCAUGGUAAACCCCACCCGGAGCAAGACCAGAUAGGAACAUAAGGCACGGCAUUGCCGUUCCAGAUGCGACCCUGCAUCAUGUUCGGGUAGGUUGCUUGAGAUGGCUGGUAACAGCCAUCCUAGAUGAAUAGCCGUCAUCAGCUGCAAUCGCAGCUGUUACAGAACCCGGCUUACAGGUCAUCUGACAUU
RNAcentral lists this RNase P RNA (386 nucleotides) under Alphaproteobacteria bacterium. RNAcentral's name for it is "RNase P RNA component class A". It matches the Rfam family "Bacterial RNase P class A". Rfam says of the family: Ribonuclease P (RNase P) is a ubiquitous endoribonuclease, found in archaea, bacteria and eukarya as well as chloroplasts and mitochondria. Lineage: Bacteria; Pseudomonadati; Pseudomonadota; Alphaproteobacteria. The record is from RNAcentral.